GCGGGGAAAAGAAACCAACAGGGAUUGCCCUAGUAACGGCGAGUGAAGCGGCAACAGCUCAAAUUUGAAAUCUGGCCUUCUGGUCCGAAUUGUAAUUUGUAGAGGAUGCUUUUGGUUAGGUACCUUCCGAGUUCCUUGGAACAGGACGCCUUAGAGGGUGAGAGCCCCGUACGGUUGGAUACCGAGCCUCUGUAAAGCUCCUUCGACGAGUCGAGUAGUUUGGGAAUGCUGCUCUAAAUGGGAGGUAAAUUUCUUCUAAAGCUAAAUACCGGCCAGAGACCGAUAGCGCACAAGUAGAGUGAUCGAAAGAUGAAAAGCACUUUGAAAAGAGGGUUAAAUAGUACGUGAAAUUGUUGAAAGGGAAGGGCUUAUGACCAGACCUUUGCCUUGCGGAUCAUCCGGUGUUCUCACCGGUGCACUCCGCUUGGUUGAGGCCAGCAUCAGUUUCGGCGGCGGGAUAAAAGCUUCAGGAAUGUGACUCCCCCGGGAGUGUUAUAGCCUGUUGCAUAAUACCGCCGCUGGGACUGAGGACCGCGCUUCGGCUAGGAUGCUGGCAUAAUGGUCAUCAGCCACCCGUCUUGAAACACGGACCAAGGAGUCGAACAUUUAUGCGAGUUUUUGGGUGUUAAACCCUCAAGCGUAAUGAAAGUGAACGGAGGUGAGAGCCCUUACGGGUGCAUCAUCGACCGAUCCUGAUGUCUUCGGAUGGAUUUGAGUAAGAGCAUAACUGUUCGGACCCGAAAGAUGGUGAACUAUGCGUGGAUAGGGUGAAGCCAGAGGAAACUCUGGUGGAGGCUCGCAGCGGUUCUGACGUGCAAAUCGAUCGUCAAAUCUGCGCAUGGGGCGAAAGACUAAUCGAMCCCAAAC
RNAcentral lists this ribosomal RNA (867 nucleotides) under Microdochium ratticaudae. RNAcentral describes it as "partial large subunit ribosomal RNA". Lineage: Eukaryota; Fungi; Ascomycota; Sordariomycetes; Xylariales; Microdochiaceae. The record is from RNAcentral.